Molecule: ribosomal RNA, 446 nt
Filed under: uncultured bacterium
Lineage: Bacteria
Description: bacterial SSU rRNA
Rfam family: Bacterial small subunit ribosomal RNA
Source: RNAcentral
CCAGACUCCUACGGGAGGCAGCAGUGGGGAAUAUUGCACAAUGGGGGGAACCCUGAUGCAGCGACGCCGCGUGAAGGAUGAAGUAUUUCGGUAUGUAAACUUCUAUCAGCAGGGAAGAAAAUGACGGUACCUGACUAAGAAGCCCCGGCUAACUACGUGCCGGCAGCCGCGGUAAUACGUAGGGGGCAAGCGUUAUCCGGAUUUACUGGGUGUAAAGGGAGCGUAGACGGCAUGGCAAGUCUGAUGUGAAAACCCGGGGCUCAACCCCGGGACUGCAUUGGAAACUGUCAGGCUAGAGUGCCGGAGAGGCAAGUGGAAUUCCUAGUGUAGCGGUGAAAUGCGUAGAUAUUAGGAGGAACACCAGUGGCGAAGGCGGCUUACUGGACAGUAACUGACGUUGAGGCUCGAAAGCGUGGGGAGCAAACAGGAUUAGAUACCCCAGUAAU